Molecule: unclassified non-coding RNA, 500 nt
Filed under: uncultured Glomus
Lineage: Eukaryota; Fungi; Glomeromycota; Glomeromycetes; Glomerales; Glomeraceae
Description: SSU rRNA
Rfam family: Eukaryotic small subunit ribosomal RNA
Source: RNAcentral
CCAAUAGCGUAUAUUAAAGUUGUUGCAGUUAAAAAGCUCGUAGUUGAAUUUCGGGACCAAUCUGCCGGUCAUGCCUCCGGUACGCACUGGUUUUAUUGGUUUCUCCCUUCUGACGAACCAUGAUGUCAUUAAUUUGGUGUCAUGGGGAAUCAGGACUGUUACUUUGAAAAAAUUAGAGUGUUUAUAGCAGGCUCACGCUUGAAUACAUUAGCAUGGAAUAAUGAAAUAGGACGUUUGACCCUAUUUUGUUGGUUUCUAGGAUCGACGUAAUGAUUAAUAGGGAUAGUUGGGGGCAUUAGUAUUCAAUUGUCAGAGGUGAAAUUCUUGGAUUUAUUGAAGACUAACUACUGCGAAAGCAUUUGCCAAGGAUGUUUUCAUUAAUCAAGAACGAAAGUUAGGGGAUCGAAGACGAUCAGAUACCGUCGUAGUCUUAACCAUAAACUAUGCCGACUAGGGAUCGGAUGAUGUUAAUUUUUUAAUGACUCAUUCGGCGCCUUACG